GUUCUUCAGAGCCUCCCUGAGUAAGCGCUGCCCCCCCCCCAUAUUCUGUGGGCUUUUGUCGUCUGCGGUGGUCAUUGCAGGAGCUGCAGGUGCCUUCCUUUGGAAGGAGUGGAAAAAACGGCAGACGGGCAGGCUACAACCAGAGAGCUGACUCCUGUGUUUGAGGUAAGAGUGUCUGGACAGUUUGCAGGUCUGAGGGGAGAUGGGAAGGCCCGCUGUGGGGAAGAGGGAGCUGGUCCACAGUGAACAGUAGAAUCUGCGUGAAUUGAGUUUAAGGGAGAUCAUCUCCCCAGGGGCCCAAGCCUGAACCCUCUCUCUCCAGCCCCCCAUUCCUUCCCUUUCUUCUGCCUUCAUCUUGACAGACCUCAGAAGUCAAAAUAAGUGAUUUCCUUGCCUUUGUCCAGAGCAAGUCUCCCCUGGCCCCCGUCUGAGUUUUCCAAUCGGUUUUCAACCCUAGCGAGGGCUGGCUGGGCUGACAGCAGCAGGG
This 487-nucleotide long non-coding RNA is filed under the name Microcebus murinus (gray mouse lemur). RNAcentral describes it as "lncRNA (ENSMICG00000048373.1)". The record is from RNAcentral. Lineage: Eukaryota; Metazoa; Chordata; Mammalia; Primates; Cheirogaleidae.